GACGAACGCUGGCGGCGUGCUUAACACAUGCAAGUCGAGCGGUAAGGCCCUUUCGGGGGUACACGAGCGGCGAACGGGUGAGUAACACGUGGGUGACCUGCCUCUAGCUCUGGGAUAAGCCUGGGAAACUGGGUCUAAUACUGGAUAUGACUCCACGGUGCAUGUCGUGGGGUGGAAAGCCUUGUGCGGCUGAGGAUGGGCCCGCGGCCUAUCAGCUUGUUGGUGGGGGAUGGCCUACCAAGGCGACGACGGGUAGCCGGCCUGAGAGGGCGACCGGCCACACUGGGACUGAGACACGGCCCAGACUCCUACGGGAGGCAGCAGUGGGGAAUCUUGCGCAAUGGGCGAAAGCCUGACGCAGCGACGCCGCGUGAGGGAUGACGGCCUGGUGUAAC
Molecule: ribosomal RNA, 395 nt
Filed under: uncultured bacterium
Lineage: Bacteria
Description: bacterial SSU rRNA
Rfam family: Bacterial small subunit ribosomal RNA
Source: RNAcentral